Molecule: long non-coding RNA, 708 nt
Filed under: Eutrema salsugineum
Lineage: Eukaryota; Viridiplantae; Streptophyta; Magnoliopsida; Brassicales; Brassicaceae
Description: long non-coding RNA (ESAL_LNC000656)
Source: RNAcentral
ACACAGCACAUAAAGAAGAACAAGAAGAAAAACAAAUUACAAAUUCAAAUCAAAGAGAAGUAAGAGAAGCAAUGGCAGGUUCUAACUGUGGAUGUGGCUCCGCUUGCAAAUGUGGUGACUCUUGCAGGUAACCCUUUAUUCUACCUUCUUUACCUUUACUUGCAUAUACGCAUGUGGUUGCUUUCUCCUUAAUUUUUUUUUGGCUUAAAUUUCAUCUUAUUAAUUACUGAAAUUUCAAAUAUUUGUUUUUUGUUUUUUUGUUUGGUGAAGUUGCGAGAAGAACUACAACACGGAGUGCGACAACUGCAGCUGUGGAUCAAACUGCAGCUGUGGGUCAAACUGUAGCUGUUGAAGGGAUUGUGGUGCAUAUCACAUAUUUGCAGGAAAACUGGGGGAAAAAAUUGUGUUUGAUGUUAAGAGAUUUGUGUGUGUUUGAAUAAUGACUUGGCAUGGUGUUGCGUAAUAACUCUCUUAACCUUGACUUUUUCCUGCUUUGUAUUUUUCUAUGUGUUGAAUGGUGUGAUUGUGUAAUGUUUUAAUUUGUAACCUAAGAACAAAAAAAAAGAAUAUAUAUUGACUAUUGUGAUUAUUAAGAUUUGUCUAUAUCUCCUCUCUCCAUAGUAGAGUAUAGGGUAGGGUUACUCAGCUAAAUGACCCAUGUAAAGUUGUUUAUUUUUAGAUAAAUGACCAAAUGGUAAAGAUACUGUA